AUGGAUAGAAGAAACAAUGUGAGAGGACGAGUGCGUAUGCGAGGUGGGCGACGAGGAGGAGGGCAAGAAAGAGGAGGAGGAGGAGGAGGAGGAGGAGGAGGAGGGCAAGAAAGAGGAGGAGGAGGAGGAGGAGGAGGAGGAGGAGGGCAAGAAAGAGGAAGAGGAAGAGGAGGAGGAGGAGGAGGAGGAGGAGGGCGAGGAAGAGGAAGAGGAGGAGGAGGACAAAGAGGAAGAGGAAGACAAAGAGUGGAAAUAUCUGAUGAAAUUCGAGCAACAGUCAUAGACCAUGUUCUUGUCCAUGGACUGACAAUGAGGGAAGCAGGACUUAGAGUGCAACCCAAUUUGAGCCGAUUUUCUGUGUCCACCAUAGUAAGGACAUUCAGAGAAGAGAACAGAAUUGCAAGGCUGCCACAUGCAGGUGGAAGGACACUUAUAUUCACUCGGGAGCAAGAGGCCAUUAUAGUGGGCAUGGUCCUUCAAGAUAAUCUAAUACGACUCAGAGAAAUCCAGGAACGAGUGAUACAAGACAACACACACUUCCAGGGAAUCGACAGUGUGAGCAUUUCCACAAUUGACCGUGUCCUCCAUCGAAACAGGAUGCGAAUGAAACAAGUAUACAGAGUACCUUUUGAGCGCAACUCACCAAGGGUGAAAGAACUGCGAGCUCAGUAUGUGCAAACAAUAUUUGACUUGGAAUCCUUGGACAGACCCCAUGAGUUCAUCUUUGUCGAUGAAGCAGGCUUCAAUCUAACGAAGAGGAGAAGGAGAGGCCGAAACAUUAUUGGACAGCGGGCCAUUGUUGAAGUCCCUGGUCAACGAGGUGGCAAUGUCACAAUCUGUGCUGCUAUCAGCAACCAUGGUGUUCUGCAUCACCAUGUUACACUCGGGCCAUAUAAUACCCAGCUUCUUCUAAGAUUUGUUGCAAAUCUAAGAGAUAUUUUAUUUGAGCAGCAGGUUCAAGAGCAGCAGGGUCAAGAGCUAAAUGACAAUCCCAUUCCCACCUAUGUGAUAGUGUGGGACAAUGUCAGUUUUCACCGAGCUGCUCAGGUAAGGGAAUGGUUUAACAUCAAUGGGCAGUUUAUGAACCUGUACCUCCCUCCAUACUCGCCUUUCCUGAAUCCGAUUGAGGAGUUUUUCUCCUCUUGGAGAUGGAAAGUUUAUGAUAGACAACCCUACACAAGAGUAAAUCUGCUGCAAGCCAUGGAUUUAGCCUGUGGUGAUAUAGGUGAGGAAUCAUGUCAGGGCUGGAUACGGCACACAAGAGGCUUCUUCCCCGUUGCCUCAGGAGGGACAAUAUUGCUUGUGACGUCGAUGAAGUGCUCUGGCCUGACCCAGCCCAAAGACAAGAAGCACAUUGAUCAUCACAUGUUUACUCCUUUGAUUUUAUAUUACAGUACAUUGUAGGCUGUAUACUGUACAAUAAACAAAUUGUUUGGCCCUGAACAUUGUGCUUUCCAUUUGUGAACAGUACUGACUGCUCAAUAGAUUAUGAAUGGUUGCAGGUUCAUAUCAACAAAUAACAAUAAUUACACUAUCACAGAGACCAAGCACAAGUUUAUGAGAUGCAGGGUACAGUACUGUAAAAAUAGGGGUAGAAGGAGGAAGAACCAAAAAAAAAAACAUGCAAAGAGCAAAGCAGAGUAGUAAUUUCUGAUCAAUUUUGAGCUACUAUGAUAGAACAUGUUUUCGUUCAUCAAAAGACAAAUGACGGAAUAAUAUGAACUUUGUUUUGAGAUUAAAAAUUUACUUCUCCCUGAGAACUAUGUUUUGAACAAUGUAUUUUCUAUUUGUUGGUGUAUUGUUUACUGACUGCUUGAUAGUGUAUAUCAUUUUGAUCACUUUGUUUAUGAUUUGAGAGCAGUGUUUGAUUUUGAACACAGGUAAAACUGUUUUGAGGCGAAAGUUUCAUUUUGCAAGAGGAGUCAGAGGUUUUGUAAAUAGUGCUUGAAGAUGAGGUUUUGUGUUCAAUGUUUUCAGAAAAUGGAGCAAGGUUUCAGAAAUUGUGUUUUAGCAAUUGAGAAAAACUGUAUUACUGGUUUUUGGUUUUGGUUUUUGUAGUAUUGUUUUGAAUUUAUCUCACCAGGAUGUAAGACUAUGUUGUAGUGUGUGUGUGUUUUGAGGGCUUGUGUGAGAUGUCUGAGGGCAAAGUUUUUUUUCAGCAAGAGUGAAUGGUUUUGAGUGUAGAGCUUCAUUUUGAACUGAAAAUAGGUUGUUAGGGUAAUUGGGUGAGACGUUAUGGAUUUGUGUUUACUGUUUUGAGAAUAUGAGGCAUAGUUUCAAGAAAUGUGUUUAAGCAAUCGAGAAAAACUGUAAAAGAAGAGAGUGGUGUGUUUUAUAAGUUCAAUAAACUUAAAUGUUGAAUACUUUUUUUAAAUGAAUGAAUCGCUUUAGUAACAUGAUGUCAUAUAUAAUUAUUUAUUUCCAUAUUCUUUAACCCCUGGAGUCGGAGUGGGAUUUGGGGCACUGGAGAUAUUUUGGCAUGCCCUGACAUUUGUGUUCCCCUUCAGGAACUCGAGCUGCAUCUGAAAACGCUAUGGGAACGCCCUUCAGCGUGACCAGCUCUGAAUAACAUGUGUAAUCAGUCCAAUGAAUGGGCGUGACGUCAUAGGCGGGUGACGUAGUGACCAGGAAGCUAUAAAAGCACGUGAGGUGAAACGAGCAUCAGAUUUCUGUCAUUCAGUGAAGCUCUGUGUGUGUGUCAGUAACCAUUACAUGUCUGUCAGUCUUAUUUACUGUUGAUUGUUAUACAAAAGUUGCACAACCACAACAUGGCUAAAAAGGCUGAUAGCAAGACAAAACAUUUGGGCAAAGUAGAUCGCAUUUCAAGCUGUGUGUUCCUCCCUGCUCACGCUACAUCACGAGCGAGGAUACACACAGUUUGUGCGUGGUCUGCUUGGGAGUGGUUCUCGAGGGAGCUGACUGUCCACAUUGUGCGCGUCUUCCCCUGUGACACUUCGCUCUUGGAGGGCUCUCACGGUGCUGGCCCCGCUUCCGCCGAGGCAGAGCGGCAGCUGCACUCGUGGGGUUCGCAGUUGGAUCUGGUGGAGGGAAUGCAGACGGGCGAGUCCCUAUCUUCUUCCUCACCUGCCAGAUCCAGCGCCCGCUCUCUGGGAUCGGAAGGACGCUUCGGCGCUACUCCCCCCUGGGAAGCGGACGCGACGCUCCUCCUAUCUGCCUCUGAGGAGGUGGAUGUUGAGAGUGUCGAUGAUUUGCCCUCUCGGUCACCACGGUGUGAGGAGUUGUUGGAGGUGGUAACUCACGCUGAGGCCAAAUUAAACAUUGAUUGGCCCAACGAGAAAAAAGCCUAACCGCAGAAGAGCAAAUUAGAUGAACGGUUUUUAUGAUCUCGGCCAACACCUCCACGCCGGAGCCUGCCUUUUUCCCCAAUCUCCACACUGAGGUGUCGAGAUCGUGGGCGAAACCAUUCUCGGCCCGUUUAUUUGUCCCCGCCUCUAAUUAUAAUGGAAAUGUGGCAGAGUUAGAUGAGCAUGGUUACAGAUCAAUGCCCUGGGUAGAACAGACGCUCGCAAGCUAUCUGUCUCCCGAUGCGGCAUUAUCAUUAAAGGCUCCGGUCUUGCCCUCCAAGCCGCUGCGAACUACUUCAGCGCUGGUUGGCAAGGGGUACGCGGCAGCAGGUCAGGCUGAUGCAUGUCUGCAUACAAUGGCUGUGUUACUGGCAUACCAGGCUGAUCUGCUAAAAGAGCUAGAUGAAGGCGAGGAAGUUAUAGAGGAAAAUAUUUCUGAGCUGAGGAAAACUGCUGAUUUAGCCCUCCGCGGCACCAAGGAGACCGCCCGCGUGAUUGGCAGUCCAUGGCAGUUCUGGUGGCAGCAGAAAGACAUCUAUGGUUGACCCUGUUGGAUUUAAAAGAGAAAGACAGGGUCUUCC
Molecule: long non-coding RNA, 3886 nt
Organism: Cyprinus carpio carpio
Lineage: Eukaryota; Metazoa; Chordata; Actinopteri; Cypriniformes; Cyprinidae
Source: Ensembl